UGGGGAAUCAUGGUCAAUGGGCGAAAGCCUGAACCAGCCAUCCCGCGUGAAGGAAGAAGGCGCUAUGCGUCGUAAACUUCUUUUCCAGGGGGAGAAUUUUCCGGUCGUGACCGGAAUUGACGGUACUCUGGGAAUAAGCAUCGGCUAACUCCGUGCCAGCAGCCGCGGUAAUACGGAGGAUGCAAGCGUUAUCCGGAUUUAUUAGGUUUAAAGGGUGCGUAGGCGGAGACUUAAGUCAGUGGUAAAAGGCAAUAGCUUAACUAAUGUAAGCCAUUGAUACUGGGUUUCUUGAGUUCGGUAGAGGUAGGCGGAAUGUGUUGUGUAGCGGUGAAAUGCAUAGAUAUUACACAGAACGCCGAUUGCGAAGGCAGCUUACUAAUCCAUGACUGACGCUGAGGCACGAAAGCGUGGGGAUCAAACA
This 421-nucleotide ribosomal RNA is filed under the name uncultured prokaryote. Its description in RNAcentral is "bacterial SSU rRNA". It matches the Rfam family "Bacterial small subunit ribosomal RNA", at positions 355 to 774 of the family's 1533-position model. The record is from RNAcentral.